Long non-coding RNA from Mercurialis annua (annual mercury), 1997 nucleotides. RefSeq lists it as uncharacterized. Lineage: Eukaryota; Viridiplantae; Streptophyta; Magnoliopsida; Malpighiales; Euphorbiaceae. The transcript has 2 exons. The record is from RefSeq and is a predicted model, not a curated record.
UGAGAAGAGCUCCAAACCCUACUUAAACCCUUGUUUAAGACAUAUUUUGUAUAUUCACUUUCGGAAACGGCGUCGGAUUAGCAAGGCGGAGCUACUCGUCGGAAGGGUUAGAAAUAGUUAGGAUGACAAUUUGGCGUUUGCUUAUUCGGACACCAUUGGCGGUGGAUGCAGUUUCACGAUAAGGAUCACUUUAUGCCCCGGGGGAAAUCGUAAUUUUGACAUAAGCUCAGGAGAUGAUAGUAAUUAUUCCUAUUACUUAAUGCAAGUAGACAUACAGCAGAAUUACUGCUACCAAAGUGCCGAAGGGUGUAACCAUCACCAGACAUCAAGAAGUCACUAGCUACUAUUACCACCUAUGGAUUGAGUACAAGUCACAAGAGGAUUCAUUAUACUCACAGCUGCAAGGUGUUGCAUCUCCUUCUCCAAUUUAGAGGUUCUUCCAAUUAUUGCAGUUGCAGCAGCAGUUUCGUCCCGUGAACAUUUGUUGCAUAUAUGAGUUGAUCCGUGGACUAACUCAUCACAUAGCACACAAUGCUUUGAGAGAUAGUAAUAAUCAAUUCUAGUUCGCUGAGGAUUUGAACCAUAAGAUAGGCGCUUAGCAGAGGUAUCUCUACCUGGGCGAGGCAUCUCUGAAAACCACCGGUGUAAGUCUGAACCGAGAAGUCCAAAUACCCGCUGGAGUGCUGGAAUUAUCUGUUUGUUAAUGUAAUAUAUAUCAUUUAGUCUGUAAGGAGAAUCGAUAGCCAAAAGCUCCAAAGGAUCUACAACCAUAUCAACCAGGCGAGCACCUAGAUCUCCAUGGAUCACAACAUAAGGCACUCUCUCUCCAUAGCGAGGUUCUGCACGGCGAUCUGCUUUCAUUGCUUUAGUAGCAACAAUUGCUGCUGGUGGGAGUGAUGAGCCCGCAUUUGCACUGUAAGUGCCCAAGCAAACUUCUUUUGCAAAUAUAAAAUCUUGAAGAGACACUCUGCCAGAUAGAAUCCGUGUCCACUGGCGCUGUAAGUAUCCUUUGAUCUGUAUCCAAAACAUGGAAAUUUUCAUCUGAUUAAGAAAUAUCUCAAAUUUAAAGAGAAAUUCUAGCAAGUAUAAAAAUAAAGAAGGCUCCGUCGAGAAAUUCUUAUCUAAACUUUUACCGCAUAGAAUUAUAAACUAUCCAUUGGUGAUGUGUCACGUGGCAUAAUUAUGUUAAAUAAUCCAAUCAAUGAACAAACACUUAAUCCUAACUAAUGAGCAUUUAAAAUUCGCAAAUUGAUGUGUUGUUCAUUGAUUGGGAAAUUUAACAUAAUUAAUACCACAUGGCAUAUCAUUAAUGGGUAGUUCAUAAUCCUAUGUAGUGGAUUUCUUAUAGAAUUUACUGGCCCUGAGUAGUAUAUACUUUCUAUAUGGUUAACAGAUUAAUAAACAAUGAGUUGGUGCUUUUGAAAUGAAAUCCAACCAGACUCUAUGGUGCUCAAUGCUGGACAAAGUAACAAGGUGAAAACAUAUGCAUAUUCCCACCUCAGAUAUGUUCUGAUGUUCAAAAAAGAGUCUCAGGGACUGCUCCAUGAUUUUGGCAACAGCAACACAAGUAUCUCUCCGGACAGUCUCAAUACCUUUGGCAUCAAAAACAGGUUCAAUCUGGUCAGCAUUCUCAUAGCUGUAACCAACAUAACGUUUUUUAGUGAGGAGAAAACAUGGAUGAUAGACUUUCUCCAAUUUCAAUGUGACCGGAUCUGGAUUCAUGACAGUUACAGCUGAAGCUAUCUCACGCCCAAUUUGGAAAGCUUCUUUGCGACUGCGUCCCUUCAGAAGGACAAACAUGCUGCAUUACGAUAAGACCAGACACAGAUGAGACAAUGCAAUGCAAGAGAGAUGAGAUAAACUGAGCACAACCCUCUUCAAGAGAAUUUGACAUCAUCAGUCACUAAAAUUACCACAAACAUGCACAAGUAUGCAUGCAUGUUCCAUAACAAAAUUUAAGAGAAAAUAGUUGCAAGUAAGCUAAUUUUGACGCUCAA